CUUAUCUCCCGGAAUUCUCACGCUCCCGCGCUCUUCUCCCUCUCGUUCGCACGCCCGGCCUGCCGCCGGAACGAAGCCCUCCGCCUCCCCCUUCUCUCGCGCGAUCCAAAGCCCGGCUGGCCGCCGACCCUCUCUCACGCACAGUCUUCAUCCAGUGACAGGAAGCCCACCCCGCCUCUCACCACAUCACUGAUGUCGACUGCCACGGCGAAGCCUUCAACAUAAAAUAAAGGGGAUGGAAGAAUCGUAGGACGCAGUUUCGUGAGAUACUUGCCACAGGACGAGGCGGUGGCUCCGGACCUUGGCGCCGAUGCCGACGGAUUGGACGCGUCGGAGUCGCAGGCGGUUGUUGAUUUUCUCAAUGACGAACUUUGUCGUCUCCUCAAGGGAUUUUCUGAAAGACGGUAAUAUCUCAUUUAUAACCUAA
Long non-coding RNA from Dendrobium catenatum, 427 nucleotides. RefSeq lists it as uncharacterized. The transcript has 2 exons. NCBI's taxonomy places the organism in Eukaryota, Viridiplantae, Streptophyta, Magnoliopsida, Asparagales, Orchidaceae. The record is from RefSeq and is a predicted model, not a curated record.